AGAGUUUGAUCCUGGCUCAGGAUGAACGCUGGCGGUAUGCUUAACACAUGCAAGUCGGACGGACUCUUCGGAGUUAGUGGCGGACGGGUGAGUAAAGCGUGAGAAUCUGCCUACAGAUUGGGGACAACGUCGGGAAACUGACGCUAAUACCGAAUGUGCCGAGAGGUGAAAGAUUUAUCGUCUGUAGAUGAGCUCGCGUCUGAUUAGCUAGUUGGGGCGGUAACGGCGCACCAAGGCGACGAUCAGUAACUGGUCUGAGAGGAUGACCAGUCACACUGGGACUGAGACACGGCCCAGACUCCUACGGGAGGCAGCAGUGGGGAAUUUUCCGCAAUGGGCGAAAGCCUGACGGAGCAAUACCGCGUGCGGGAGGACGCUUUUUGGAGUGUAAACCGUUUUUCUCAAGGAAGAUGAUGACGGUACUUGAGGAAUCAGCAUCGGCUAACUUCGUGCCAGCAGCCGCGGUAAUACGAGGGAUGCAAGCGUUAUCCGGAAUUAUUGGGCGUAAAGCGUUCGUAGGUGGCAAAUUAAGUCUGUUGUUAAGACGUGGAGCUUAACUCCAUAUCGGCAAUGGAAACUGGUUAGCUAGAGUAUGGUAGGGGUAACAGGAAUUCCCAGUGUAGCGGUGAAAUGCGUAGAUAUUGGGAAGAACACCAGCGGCGAAAGCGUGUUACUGGGCCAUUACUGACACUGAGGGACGAAAGCUAGGGGAGCGAAAGGGAUUAGAUACCCCUGUAGUCCUAGCCGUAAACGAUGAGAACUAGGUGUUGCGCGUAUCGACCCGCGCGGUGCCGUAGCUAACGCGUUAAGUUCUCCGCCUGGGGAGUACGCACGCAAGUGUGAAACUCAAAGGAAUUGACGGGGGCCCGCACAAGCGGUGGAGUAUGUGGUUUAAUUCGAUGCAACGCGAAGAACCUUACCAGGGUUUGACAUCCUCGGAACUUUCUGGAAACAGAUUGGUGCCUUCGGGAACCGAGAGACAGGUGGUGCAUGGCUGUCGUCAGCUCGUGUCGUGAGAUGUUGGGUUAAGUCCCGCAACGAGCGCAACCCACGUUUUUAGUUGCCAGCAUUAAGUUGGGCACUCUAGAGAGACUGCCGGUGACAAACCGGAGGAAGGUGUGGAUGACGUCAAGUCAGCAUGCCCCUUACAUCCUGGGCUACACACGUACUACAAUGCUACGGACAAAGGGCAGCGAGCCAGCAAUGGUCUGCAAAUCCCAUAAACCGUAGCUCAGUUCAGAUUGCAGGCUGCAACUCGCCUGCAUGAAGGCGGAAUCGCUAGUAAUCGCAGGUCAGCAUACUGCGGUGAAUACGUUCCCGGGCCUUGUACACACCGCCCGUCACACCA
This 1348-nucleotide ribosomal RNA is filed under the name metagenome. RNAcentral's name for it is "bacterial SSU rRNA". It matches the Rfam family "Bacterial small subunit ribosomal RNA". The record is from RNAcentral.